Molecule: ribosomal RNA, 472 nt
Filed under: Gobiodon histrio (broad-barred goby)
Lineage: Eukaryota; Metazoa; Chordata; Actinopteri; Gobiiformes; Gobiidae
Description: partial 12S ribosomal RNA
Rfam family: Bacterial small subunit ribosomal RNA
Source: RNAcentral
UUCGCCAGGGAACAACGAGCAUCAGCUUAAAACCCAAAGGACUUGGCGGUGCUUUAGACCCACCUAGAGGAGCCUGUCCUAGAACCGAUAAUCCCCGUUUAACCUCACCCCCUCUUGUUCUUUUCCGCCUGUAUACCUCCGUCUUCAGCUCACCCUGUGAGGGCCUAGUAGUGAGCAAAAUUGGCAAUGCCUAAAACGUCAGGUCGAGGUGCAGCUUAUGAGGGGGGAAGAGAUGGGCUACAUUUUCUGCCCCAGAAAAUACGAAUUUUGCCCUGAAAAAGCAUCUGAAGGUGGAUUUAGCAGUAAGGAGAGACUAGAGCGCUCUCCUGAAGCCGGCCCUAAAGCGCGUACACACCGCCCGUCACUCUCCCCGAGACAUCCCACACCUAUUCAUAAUAAGUCAAAACACAAAGCAAGGGGAGGCAAGUCGUAACAUGGUAAGUGUACCGGAAGGUGUACUUGGACAAUAUCC